AUGGUGAAGUCCAUGCUGGACCUGAGACAGCUGGACAAAGACAAACCUGUCCCCUCCAGCCUGCAGGACGCCACGGAGCAGGCGGAGGAGAGGUCCUGGAGGCGCUGGCCCUGGCUGUCCUGCCCCAGAGACGCCGCGGCGCUCCUUCCCGAGGAAAAGCAGCUUCCAGACGGCGAGCACACUGCGAGGGAAAGCCGCCGCGGCUCCCCGGAGCUCCUCAGCCAGAGCCAGGACGGCUGCAGCCCUGACAGCGCCUGUUCGCUCGGAUACGACAGCGGCGAGUCCAUCCCGGAACGGGGGCGGAGCCUCCACGGACAACCAGACCCGUGUAGCUACGGAGAAUCCCGUCACCUCAGCAGCUCUGAGGAAGAAGAGGAUGGAGCAGUGACGAGUCUGGACGAAGCUCUGAGGAGCGUCAACGCCGACCACAGUCAGCAGGACUUCCUGAGGGAGAACUACGAGACGCUGGGAGAAAGCUGCAGCACUGGGCAGAACUGCCUCCAAAGGGUCAGUAUCUCUUCUCGCUUCCUGUCCAGAGGGCGCCAUGACAGGGAGCGGGACGGCCCGGCUAAAGUCAGAGCCGACAGGAAGUCCUCUGGAUCCCACCUCUGGAGAAGGUCCAGUCCUGCGUGUGAAGAGCUGCUGACCUCUGACCCCACUUUCCAGAGGUCCCAUUCUGCUCAGGACUUGGCGUCAAACCCUCUGGGCUCCCCUGCGCCCCCUGGUGCCCACAGGGAGUCCCGCAUGAGACCUCAGCAGCUGUCGCUGUCUGAAGACAACCUGAAGCCCUCCUUCCCCGUUUCCUCCCCCUCUUCUGGGUCUUCUGGCUCGCCACGGUCCCCGCAGCCCUGGGAGAGCCCCAAAUCCAGGAUCCAGCACUCCUACAUGAACCCCACCAUCAGCUCUCUGGCCAAAAGCAGCAGGUCGCUGUCUCUGGACGAUGACCUUCGGUCUGACACGCCGCCGCGCUCCCCGUGCACCAGUGAGAGCACAAGGAGGUUCUCCGGUGGCGAUGUGGAGACGGCGCCACCACUGUUCUCCUCUUCUCCUCGGACCGCCCUCCCUCCCUCAGUUUCAUCGAUGCCGUCUCUCCUGCUGAGUCCUCCGUCAAGCAGCCCCCCUCAGAGUCGACCCGCAGCCUCACCUCUCCGUCCCAACGCUCCGCCUUCUCGCAUCCCGCUUCUGAGGCAGCCGCUCAGCCCCGGACGCCUCCACAAGAUGAGGCCGAGCUCCAGCUGGUGCGGCGCCGUGGGCGGAGCUUCCAGCCCUGCGGCAGAUGCGGGCUACUGGGUUCCGCCCUCACCUGAAAAACUCAAAGUGUGUUUCAGACACAGUUUGGAUCCCGGUUCUCCAAGUUCUCUGCCUGUAAGGCAGAAACGGAGGUCCCUGUCCGCGAGCUGGAGGGAGGGAGACGAAAAACAGCGCCCUCUGGUGGCUGAUGAUGACCACAGCAGAAGCCCCGAAACGGGUUUUAUGGUCUCCGUGGAAACCUGCAGGCGAGCUGCCGCAGAUCUCCAAAGCAGUCUGCAGAAAACCGUGGCGCUUCUCACAACGUUACCGCGGAGAAACCAGCAUCCCAGUGAGGAGCAGCAGGAGAUGAGAGCCGUCCUGACUGAAGCUCUGCUCGCCGUGAAAGUCCAGCUGGAAAUAACCCCCCCCAUAUGA
Oryzias sinensis (Chinese medaka) is the source of this 1665-nucleotide long non-coding RNA. The record is from Ensembl. Lineage: Eukaryota; Metazoa; Chordata; Actinopteri; Beloniformes; Adrianichthyidae.